AGAGUUUGAUCAUGGCUCAGAUUGAACGCUGGCGGCAUGCCUAACACAUGCAAGUCGAACGGCAGCACAGCAGUAGCAAUACUGUGGGUGGCGAGUGGCGGACGGGUGAGGAAUACAUCGGGACCUGCCCAGACGUGGGGGAUAACGUAGGGAAACUUACGCUAAUACCGCAUACGUCCUACGGGAGAAAGCGGGGGAUCAGCAAUGACCUCGCGCGGUUGGAUGGACCGAUGUUCGAUUAGCUUGUUGGUGGGGUAAUGGCCUACCAAGGCGACGAUCGAUAGCUGGUCUGAGAGGAUGAUCAGCCACACUGGGACUGAGACACGGCCCAGACUCCUACGGGAGGCAGCAGUGGGGAAUAUUGGACAAUGGGCGCAAGCCUGAUCCAGCAAUGCCGCGUGUGUGAAGAAGGCCUUCGGGUUGUAAAGCACUUUUAUCAGGAGCGAAAUACCACGGGUUAAUACCCUAUGGGGCUGACGGUACCUGAGGAAUAAGCACCGGCUAACUUCGUGCCAGCAGCCGCGGUAAUACGAAGGGUGCAAGCGUUAAUCGGAAUUACUGGGCGUAAAGCGUGCGUAGGUGGUUUUUUAAGUCUGCUGUGAAAUCCCCGGGCUCAACCUGGGAAUGGCAGUGGAUACUGGAAAGCUAGAGUGUGAGAGAGGAUGGUGGAAUUCCCGGUGUAGCGGUGAAAUGCGUAGAGAUCGGGAGGAACAUCAGUGGCGAAGGCGGCCAUCUGGCUCAACACUGACACUGAGGCACGAAAGCGUGGGGAGCAAACAGGAUUAGAUACCCUAGUAGUCC
This 801-nucleotide ribosomal RNA is filed under the name uncultured bacterium. RNAcentral's name for it is "bacterial SSU rRNA". It matches the Rfam family "Bacterial small subunit ribosomal RNA", at positions 8 to 796 of the family's 1533-position model. The record is from RNAcentral.